Molecule: transfer RNA, 70 nt
Filed under: Marmota monax (woodchuck)
Lineage: Eukaryota; Metazoa; Chordata; Mammalia; Rodentia; Sciuridae
Description: tRNA.Ala
Source: RNAcentral
GGAGUUGUGGCUCAGCGGUAGAGCGCUCACCUAGCAUGUGCAAGGGGCCUGAGUUUGAUCCUCAGCACCA